Molecule: ribosomal RNA, 387 nt
Filed under: uncultured bacterium
Lineage: Bacteria
Description: bacterial SSU rRNA
Rfam family: Bacterial small subunit ribosomal RNA
Source: RNAcentral
GACGAACGCUGGCGGCGUGCUUAACACAUGCAAGUCGAGCGGUAAGGCCCUUUCGGGGGUACACGAGCGGCGAACGGGUGAGUAACACGUGGGUGACCUGCCCUCAGCUCUGGGAUAAGCCUGGGAAACCGGGUCUAAUACUGGAUAUGACCCCAUGACGCAUGUUGUGGGGUGAAAGCCUUGUGCGGCUGAGGAUGGGCCCGCGGCCUAUCAGCUUGUUGGUGGGGUGAUGGCCUACCAAGGCGACGACGGGUAGCCGGCCUGAGAGGGCGACCGGCCACACUGGGACUGAGACACGGCCCAGACUCCUACGGGAGGCAGCAGUGGGGAAUCUUGCGCAAUGGGCGAAAGCCUGACGCAGCGACGCCGCGUGAGGGAUGACGGCCU